RNAcentral lists this ribosomal RNA (1362 nucleotides) under uncultured bacterium. RNAcentral's name for it is "bacterial SSU rRNA". It matches the Rfam family "Bacterial small subunit ribosomal RNA", at positions 28 to 1381 of the family's 1533-position model. The record is from RNAcentral.
AUUGAACGCUGUGCGGCAGGCCUAACACAUGCAAGUCGAGCGGUAGCACAGAGAGCUUGCUCUCGGGUGACGAGCGGCGGACGGGUGAGUAAUGUCUGGGAAACUGCCUGAUGGAGGGGGAUAACUACUGGAAACGGUAGCUAAUACCGCAUAACGUCGCAAGACCAAAGUGGGGGACCUUCGGGCCUCAUGCCAUCAGAUGUGCCCAGAUGGGAUUAGCUAGUAGGUGGGGUAACGGCUCACCUAGGCGACGAUCCCUAGCUGGUCUGAGAGGAUGACCAGCCACACUGGAACUGAGACACGGUCCAGACUCCUACGGGAGGCAGCAGUGGGGAAUAUUGCACAAUGGGCACAAGCCUGAUGCAGCCAUGCCGCGUGUGUGAAGAAGGCCUUCGGGUUGUAAAGCACUUUCAGCGGGGAGGAAGGCGUUAAGGUUAAUAACCUUGGCGAUUGACGUUACCCGCAGAAGAAGCACCGGCUAACUCCGUGCCAGCAGCCGCGGUAAUACGGAAGGUGCAAGCGUUAAUCGGAAUUACUGGGCGUAAAGCGCACGCAGGCGGUCUGUCAAGUCGGAUGUGAAAUCCCCGGGCUCAACCUGGGAACUGCAUUCGAAACUGGCAGGCUAGAGUCUUGUAGAGGGGGGUAGAAUUCCAGGUGUAGCGGUGAAAUGCGUAGAGAUCUGGAGGAAUACCGGUGGCGAAGGCGGCCCCCUGGACAAAGACUGACGCUCAGGUGCGAAAGCGUGGGGAGCAAACAGGAUUAGGUACCCUGGUAGUCCACGCCGUAAACGAUGUCGAUUUGGAGGUUGUGCCCUUGAGGCGUGGCUUCCGGAGCUAACGCGUUAAAUCGACCGCCUGGGGAGUACGGCCGCAAGGUUAAAACUCAAAUGAAUUGACGGGGGCCCGCACAAGCGGUGGAGCAUGUGGUUUAAUUCGAUGCAACGCGAAGAACCUUACCUGGUCUUGACAUCCACAGAACUUAGCAGAGAUGCUUUGGUGCCUUCGGGAACUGUGAGACAGGUGCUGCAUGGCUGUCGUCAGCUCGUGUUGUGAAAUGUUGGGUUAAGUCCCGCAACGAGCGCAACCCUUAUCCUUUGUUGCCAGCGGUCCGGCCGGGAACUCAAAGGAGACUGCCAGUGAUAAACUGGAGGAAGGUGGGGAUGACGUCAAGUCAUCAUGGCCCUUACGACCAGGGCUACACACGUGCUACAAUGGCAUAUACAAAGAGAAGCGACCUCGCGAGAGCAAGCGGACCUCAUAAAGUAUGUCGUAGUCCGGAUUGGAGUCUGCAACUCGACUCCAUGAAGUCGGAAUCGCUAGUAAUCGUAGAUCAGAAUGCUACGGUGAAUACGUUCCCGGGGCU